This 509-nucleotide ribosomal RNA is filed under the name uncultured Acaulosporaceae. RNAcentral's name for it is "SSU rRNA". It matches the Rfam family "Eukaryotic small subunit ribosomal RNA", at positions 569 to 1078 of the family's 1831-position model. Lineage: Eukaryota; Fungi; Glomeromycota; Glomeromycetes; Diversisporales; Acaulosporaceae. The record is from RNAcentral.
AGCAGCCGCGGUAAUUCCAGCUCCAAUAGCGUAUAUUAAAGUUGUUGCAGUUAAAAAGCUCGUAGUUGAAUUUCGGAAUUUGUCGGUUGGUCGGGCUUCACUGUCCGCACUGGCCUGAUGGAUUCCUACCUUCUGAAUAAACAGCAUGCUAUUAAUUUAGUGCGUUGGGGAAGCAGAGCUAUUACCUUGAAAAAUUAGAGUGCUUAAAGCAGGCUUACGCUUGAAUAGAUUAGCAUGGAAUAAUAAAAUAGGACGGCUUGGUUCUAUUUUGUUGGUUUCUAGGAUCACCGUAAUGAUUAAUAGGGAUAGUUGGGGGCAUUAGUAUUCAAUUGUCAGAGGUGAAAUUCUUGGAUUUAUUGAAGACUAACUUCUGCGAAAGCAUUUGCCAAGGAUGUUUUCAUUAAUCAAGAACGAAAGUUAGGGGAUCGAAGACGAUCAGAUACCGUCGUAGUCUUAACCAUAAACUAUGCCGACUAGGGAUCGGACGAUGUUAAUUUUUAAUGUACUCG